UGAGGAAUAUUGCACAAUGGGCGCAAGCCUGAUGCAGCGACGCCGCGUGUGGGAUGAAGGGGCUACGCCUCGUAAACCACUGUAGCCCGGGACGAAAAACGCCUUAGAGGCGUUAGACGGUACCGGGAAAGUAAGGGUCGGCUAACUACGUGCCAGCAGCCGCGGUAAUACGUAGGAGGCAAGCGUUAUCCGGAAUUACUGGGCGGAAAGGGCGUCUAGGUGGGACGUCAAGCGGGGUGUGAAAGCUCCUGGCUUAACUGGGAGAGUGCGCUCUGAACUGACGACCUAGAGGGCAGGCGACGGAGGUGGAAUUCCCGGUGGAGUGGUGGAAUGCGUAGAGAUCGGGAGGAACACCAGUGGCGAAGGCGGCCUCCGAGCCUGAACCUGACGCUGAAGCGCGAGAGCGUGGGGAGCAAACG
Molecule: ribosomal RNA, 419 nt
Filed under: uncultured bacterium
Lineage: Bacteria
Description: bacterial SSU rRNA
Rfam family: Bacterial small subunit ribosomal RNA
Source: RNAcentral